Molecule: long non-coding RNA, 242 nt
Filed under: Elaeis guineensis (African oil palm)
Lineage: Eukaryota; Viridiplantae; Streptophyta; Magnoliopsida; Arecales; Arecaceae
Description: long non-coding RNA (EGUI_LNC077186)
Source: RNAcentral
UUGAAAAGAGUUUAAAUGAUAUUUUGAUAGAGAUUAUUGUAUAUCUCACUAUCAGAUAGAAUUAAACCUAUGGGAUCACACAACAAAGGGAUUAGGCCUGGAAUAAGCAAUUAAGCUUAUGAUGUGUUAAUUGAGUUUAAAAAAAUUUGAUUAGGUUCAUGGUAACCUUGCUAGCACAUAAUUGGACCCAAUUCCUCUUUCCGUUGGGAUUACUUAUUUGACAAGAUAAUUUAAAUUUAAUU